Long non-coding RNA from Cyprinus carpio (common carp), 1454 nucleotides. The record is from Ensembl. NCBI's taxonomy places the organism in Eukaryota, Metazoa, Chordata, Actinopteri, Cypriniformes, Cyprinidae.
CUUAUUUGCCCUGUAGCGUAUAGACAUUAAACUUAAUACUAAUCUUGUGGCUGUAAUGACUGACAGCCAAUAGUCAUUUUGAACCCUCGUAUCUGCAAAAUCUGACCGUCUGUUAGACAGGAACUGACCAGUGUUUCUGCUUGACUGUGCACCCAUCAGCUCCUGCCGUGUUCGUCUUUAUUUUUGGAAGGAGGGAUCACGUUACGGCCCUGAGAAGACCCCUCUGACAGGAAGUCGCCCGGCGGGACACCGCGUUGUCUCUCACUGGCUCAGGCCCUGAGCUAAGCUCACCCUCGGGGUGAAUCAUAUACACACAGACACGCUGUGGAAACACUGGUUAAACUCCAGCUGAACUUCACAUCAAUAUCCUCAUGACCUCGCCGUGCUAAUAAGAGCAGCACGCUGCUUGUGGUGAGUUCUCAUGGGCAGCUGAGGAAGAGCGCUGUGGUAAAAUGCAUUGAUACCAUAUUCAAAGGGAGGCCUGACUUGGGAAUAGUUUUGCAUUUACAUACACCUCUUCAGCUUGCCUGCACCCAGAUCUUUUGGAUCCACAAAUAGCAUGUGGAAGGAAGCUUUCCUGUACACAUAGCCAAGCGAAGGAAGAGAGAUGAAAAGGGAGAGAAAGUGAGGAGGAGGAGGAGGAGGGGCAGGGGGAGAACAUAAGAAAGCAUAGGAGCUGCUGGCAAGCCUUGGUGCUUUUAAUUGGUUCCAAGUGUCCCAGAUUUCCCUGCACUGGAGAGCUCCUCUGGUCCUCCUCUCUGGAGCUCUUCUGGAAUGGCCUCCGUAGCAGCAUGCACUCCAUUUGCCCCUGGAUUCUUUAUUGUUAUUAGGCGAUUUCCUGGGGAACUUCUGGAUGGCAGUACAGUGCAGGAGUUGUUUUGGCUGGCUCAUAAUGGAGCGACAGAGAGAAAAUCCAACAACCAAACAAACCAAACCCAACGUCAGUCCCCAGGUUUCUCUCAUUCAUCACCGCGAGGGGCCAGACCUGUGAAUGCACAUUCAGAGACCCCCAACCCUCCUGCUGAGAGCGAGCAGACCACCAUGCAGAAACCUCCACGUCUCUGGAUCUCCUCCCAUCCUGUUUCCCCACUGCCUGGCCCUGAUAAGUCGUCUUGGUCGGGAGGAACAGCGAUGGCCUUUGCCUGAGUCAACGGAAAUGGAGGAAACAGAAUUCCUUACGUGACAACGAAAAACACAAUGGAGACAGGAAACAUUGAUGUGGAGAGGACGAGAAAGAAUGAGACAAGAACAGAUAGUAAGAGGAGCCGUUUGUCUAUAAUUAAGUUUCUCCAAGUCUUGAGUGCAUGGGGACAUGAACUCUUUAAGUCCAGCGGUUCUCAGAUGGUUUUGCUUCAGAACCAGGUUUCACAUUGGACAUCAAGUAGCAACCUAAAACAGUACUUUUUUUUUUCCAGAUAAAUAAAUAAAAUAAAUUGAAGUGAUAAUACUAAUAA